Molecule: ribosomal RNA, 231 nt
Filed under: Staphylococcus aureus
Lineage: Bacteria; Bacillati; Bacillota; Bacilli; Caryophanales; Staphylococcaceae
Description: partial 23S ribosomal RNA
Rfam family: Bacterial large subunit ribosomal RNA
Source: RNAcentral
GUCUUCGAGUCGUUGAUUUCACACUGCCGAGAAAAGCCUCUAGAUAGAAAAUAGGUGCCCGUACCGCAAACCGACACAGGUAGUCAAGAUGAGAAUUCUAAGGCGAGCGAGCGAACUCUCGUUAAGGAACUCGGCAAAAUGACCCCGUAACUUCGGGAGAAGGGGUGCUCUUUAGGGUUAACGCCCAGAAGAGCCGCAGUGAAUAGGCCCAAGCGACUGUUUAUCAAAAAC